AUCACCAGAAAACUCAAUCAUCAAUACUAAAAAUCCUCACACUUCAUCCACUUGACAAAAACAACAAUCACACCAAUUUUUAUUUCAUUAACAAAUCCAUUUGGAUUUUUUUUUUCUCUUGGACGACAAUUCAUCUCAUCUAUCGAAGAUUAGGCUCAUCGCUGCCUCAUCACCGCAAUCACCAACACAUCAAGUACCAAAAUUAGAACUUGACAUACUAACAUGAAUCUUGGACCCGAAAAUUAAAAUCAAAGACAAAUAAGCACAUAAUACAGAAAGGAUCCUCUUCAAAUUUACACUAGUGUGCUCCAUCUCAAUGGCUUGUAAA
Molecule: long non-coding RNA, 328 nt
Filed under: Capsicum annuum
Lineage: Eukaryota; Viridiplantae; Streptophyta; Magnoliopsida; Solanales; Solanaceae
Description: long non-coding RNA (CANN_LNC020893)
Source: RNAcentral